GAUGAACGCUGGCGGCGUGCCUAAUACAUGCAAGUCGAGCGAACGGACGAGAAGCUUGCUUUUCUGAUGUUAGCGGCGGACGGGUGAGUAACACGUGGAUAACCUACCUAUAAGACUGGGAUAACUUCGGGAAACCGGAGCUAAUACCGGAUAAUAUUUUGAACCGCAUGGUUCAAAAGUGAAAGACGGUCUUGCUGUCACUUAUAGAUGGAUCCGCGCUGCAUUAGCUAGUUGGUAAGGUAACGGCUUACCAAGGCAACGAUGCAUAGCCGACCUGAGAGGGGGAUCGGCCACAGGGAAACUAGGACCCGGUCCAAACCCCCACGGGAGGCACGGGUGGGAAAUCUCCGGAAAGGGGCAAAGGCCUAACGGGGAAACGCCGCGGAAGUGUGAAAGGUCUUCGGCUCGUAAAACCCUGUUAUUGGGGAAAAAAAAAGGUGUAAUGAACGGGGCAAAAUUGACGGGUACCUAAGAAAAAGCCCCGGCCAAACUAGGG
RNAcentral lists this ribosomal RNA (496 nucleotides) under uncultured bacterium. RNAcentral's name for it is "partial 16S ribosomal RNA". It matches the Rfam family "Bacterial small subunit ribosomal RNA", at positions 28 to 507 of the family's 1533-position model. The record is from RNAcentral.